GUUUGAGCACAGCGUCCUCCCAUAAUUCCGGCGCGAGUGUUUACCGCUUGGGGUGAAAGGUCAAAGGCGAGAGCACAUCGAGUCUGAAGCACAUCUUUCCUGAUGCUAACAAAGAUGCUAGCGCCGCGACUGGAUGUAGCCGGGCUCGUCAAACUACACUGGGAGAGUUCAGCCAGGAUAUCCGUACAUCCAUCCAUUUUCCAAUAUUGAUCCAGGAUCAUGGCAGCAGAAGGCAAAGCAAGGUAAGCCAAAUGUCCCGCUCUCUAACCAUGUCUCCAUCUUUUCCUGGAGGAUCCCGAGGCAUUCCCAGGUCAGAUGGGAUAUUAAAUCCCUCCACUGUAUUCUAGGAUUGCCCAUGUUUUUGUGUGUGGACUACCUCCACAGGUAGGAAACCAGGAGACAUCUGAAUCAGAUGCCCAAAACCUCUUGGAUGACUCAACAUAAAAGAGCAGCAGUUUGACUCUGAGCUCCCUCUGCAUGUCUGAGCUCCCCACCCUCUGUAAGGGUGUGCUCAGCCACCCUGUACUGGAAACUCAUUUCAGCCAUGUGCAAUCUCAUUCCUUCGAUCAUUACCUAAAGCUAAUGACUAUAAGUGAGGGUUGAAACGCAGAUUGACUGGUAAAUUGAAGGCUUUACCCUCAGGCUCAGCUUUCUCUUCACCACAACAGUCUAGUGCAGUAUCUACAUUAUUGGUGACCUGGCACCAGUCUGCCCGUCAAUCUCACCCUCCAUCUUACCCUCACUCAAACAUACUUGAGGUUCUUCACUUGGUGCAGUGACUCACUUAAAACCCAAAAGGAGUCAUCCAUCAUGUACUCUAUCCUCAUUAUGUGUUGCUUCACACAUGGUCACAAAUCAUCCAGUGCACACUGGAAAUCAUGGUUUGGUGAUCUGCAGAAAGCAACAAUGCAAUCCUGAGGCCACCAUAUCAGACACUCUCAACACCUUGGCUUUGCCUCAAAAUUCUAUCCUUGAAAAUCACAAGCAGAAUAUGUUACAAGACGAAACCCUGGUGUAGCCCAGUGCCCACUGAGAACACACUUGCCACCCUGCUGAGAAUGUGGACACAGCUCCCAUUCCAGGUAUCGAAGGACCAAAUAGCUCAUAGUAACAACCCUGGUGACACAAUAUUUCCCGAGGGACCCAGUCAUAAGCUCUCUAAAAGUCUGUAAACAUGGAUAGCAAACUCCCAUGACCCCUCAAGAAUCCCUUCUAAGUUAAACAGUUCGUCCACUGUUCUCGAUCAGGACAGAUUUGGUAUUACCUCUUCUGAAUUCCCUGGAAGGUCGAGCAAUGUGAUAUCCUAAUAACUGACACGCACACUGCGGUUCCCUUUUUAAAAAAUGGGAACCACCAUGCUGGUCUGCCAGUCCAAAGGCACUGUCCCCAGCCUCCACAUGACAGUGAGGAGGCAGAGCCGCAAUGCCCCAAGCCUUCAGUAUCUCAAGGCAAAUUUCGUCCACCCCUAACGUCUUGCCACUGUGGAGCUUUUUGACUACAUCAGUGACCUCUGCUAGUUAAAUGAACAAGGCGUCCCCUGAUCCUUCCAGCUCUGUCACCUCCAUUAGGGAUGUGUCGGUCAGGUUCAGGAGUUCCUCUGAGAGUUCAUUCCUUUCACCAUCCAACAAUAUCCACAAUCAAGGUCAGCAGUUUUUCUCUCAUGCUGAAAACAACCUGGGCUAAGGCCUGCCUCCCUGAACUCCACCCAUACACCAAAUACUCCUAUAGUUUUGUU
This is a long non-coding RNA of Lates calcarifer (barramundi perch), 1735 nucleotides long. RefSeq lists it as uncharacterized. NCBI's taxonomy places the organism in Eukaryota, Metazoa, Chordata, Actinopteri, Centropomidae. The record is from RefSeq and is a predicted model, not a curated record. The transcript has 3 exons.